Molecule: ribosomal RNA, 532 nt
Filed under: uncultured bacterium
Lineage: Bacteria
Description: bacterial SSU rRNA
Rfam family: Bacterial small subunit ribosomal RNA
Source: RNAcentral
AGAGUUUGAUCAUGGCUCAGGAUAAACGCUGGCGGCGCACAUAAGACAUGCAAGUCGAACGAACUUAACCAUUAGUUUACUAUUGGAGCGGUUAGUGGCGGACUGGUGAGUAACACGUAAGCAACCUGCCUGUUAGAGGGGAACAACAGUUAGAAAUGACUGCUAAUACCGCAUAUGCCUUAGUUAUCGCAUGAUAAUAGAGGGAAAGGAGCAAUCCGCUAACAGAUGGGCUUGCGUCUGAUUAGAUAGUUGGUGUGGUAACGGCAUACCAAGUCGACGAUCAGUAGCCGGACUGAGAGGUUGAACGGCCACAUUGGGACUGAGAUACGGCCCAGACUCCUACGGGAGGCAGCAGUCGGGAAUAUUGCACAAUGGGGGAAACCCUGAUGCAGCGACGCCGCGUGGAGGAAGAAGGUCUUCGGAUUGUAAACUCCUGUUGUUGGGGAAAAAGAGGAUGGUACCCAACAAGGAAGUGACGGCUAACUACGUGCCAGCAGCCGCGGUAAUACGUAUGGUGCAAGCGUUAUCCCGG